This 961-nucleotide long non-coding RNA is filed under the name Homo sapiens (human). Its description in RNAcentral is "HSALNT0394088". The record is from RNAcentral. Lineage: Eukaryota; Metazoa; Chordata; Mammalia; Primates; Hominidae.
CACUUUUCUUUGUGCAUUCACACGAUGCAUUUUCUUUUCUUAUCACCAAACUGUUUUGAAAGAUAAAAGUACUUCCUGAAUAUGUGGAUGGUGAGCCACGUGAAUGGAAGACAUGGAGAUAUGGACUGUUAACACCUUGUCAAACAUUUAUUGUCCCUUCCACCUCUAAACUUCUGUGAUAAUAGGUGAACAGGACCCACGUGGUGCAGAAUACUGCGAUACACACUGCGGAAUAAUUCAGUGCAGAACAACACGUGGAUUGCUCAGUACAACUUGUUCAUCACAUCCUCCUGUUCACUGAAGAAUUAUGGAAAUAUUCUCUGAGCUGCUUUCCUCCCUGCCCAACGAGUCAUCUCUGUGUGAAAGGCCAAGCUUAUAAAUCCUGUGGAUUCCUUUGCAGAAACUUGAAAUGGGAAGCUGAGUUCUAUGCCUGGGAUAAUACAAUGCAAGACCAGAUUAUGUAGGAAAGCUGAGUUUGAGGACACAGGAAAUCCUGAAAAGCCUAAAGAUCUGAGAGUUAGCAAAAAUCCAUGGGCCAACUUCAAACUUGGAGGGCUGCAGAAUUAGUGACAUCCGAGCUGAGAAUAACAAAAGAUUUUUUUCAAGAUAGCUGGGUAGCCCAGAGGCAAUCAAUGGGAAUGAAAAUAUGGAGUGUUGCCUUUCCCAGCCAAGGCAAGAAUGGAGUGCCAUAGAUUCUGAGGAUAGCAGAAGACACUGAGGCAUCUGGGUCCCUGGGAGUCACACAGAACAAGAGAUGUGUCUUGACAAAUCAAAUCUGCAUGCUGGAAGGGUAACAGGGAGAAAAUAAAGAUCAGUGGCAAUAAAUGCAAGAGAAAAAACUGCAUCAGGAGGGGUACCAGGGAAAAAUGGUUUAACAACAUCAGAAUCACGUCAUGGUCAUCAUGUCUGGAGGCAUUGUCAGUUAUGAUCUUCAGUGCUUCUCUGUCAUUUAUUAAAUGCU